CCAACCUCAGAUGAUCCACCCGCCUCAGCCUCCCAAAGUGCUGGGAUUACAGGCAUGAGCCACUGCGCCCGACCCCGUUUUACUUUUAACAAGCGUGAAUGCAUCUGUUUCUGAGCUAUGUGGGCAACAUGCUUGUGAGGUGCGGACCUGCCCUACAGGACGUGCAGCUUGGUUAGUCGAGAAGAAAUUUUACCCAAGGGCAAGUAGCGAGAACACAGCAAACCGACGCAUGCAGAGGGAGAUCCAGCAGUCAGACCGGGCGGGUGGAAACAGCUGAGCGUCUUCAGUGGCUCGUGAUGGGACAGACGGCCUAGUCUGAAAAACUGAGGCAGGAGGGACUGCCCAGCUUCAGGAGGGAGAGUAGGAGCCUGUCCCAGGCCCAGCCACUUUGGCGACAGCAAAUUACAGAGCUACCAGAAGGAGGAGAGGCCCAGGCUGUCAGGGAGCACUACCGGCUGCCGAGAGGGUAGGGGGCCCUGGGCCCGCCCUGCAGAGGUUCCUGCUCAGGUUCUCCGGAGCCUGGGUGGAGCAGAGUAGAGUCAUGACCUGUGUGGACCCUGCAGUGCCCAGAUUUAGAAUUCUGCCAACCUCCAAGCUCACCAUCAGCCUCCUGCGGCCCCACUUGUUGCUGGGGCAGCUACUGUGCCCCGACCCCAUCGUCCCCAUGCAGAGGGUCCCAGCCGCAGGUCCGUGGGGGCUGGUGUCUGGCCUCCCUCCUUCUGACUGGCUGAGCAAAGUAUCCGCAGGGCACAGAGUAGGUCACAGGGAUGCCAAUUAGAAAGGAUAAAGCUUUUGCGGCCUAAGGCAGUUGUGGGGUUCACUUCCAGUCUUUGAGAACACAGGAGACUAUCUGUUUUGAAAUUAACAUAGAGGUUCCCCAAAUCAGUACAGUUUCCCCUCCUUUGGGGCUAUGACAGUGACUUUUCCAUCUGAAGACAGCAAAGCAAGUGAGUCGGUGGCCGGGUCUGCUCUCCGCCCGCGUGCAAGUGUGGGAGCAAAGAGGCACCCAGAGAAGCCCCCGUGGCCUGAGGCUCUUUGUAAAAAAGACAAGGCCCUGAGCAACAUACUGGCUCCUGCUGCUCAGGACGACAACCAUGCUUGGCUGCUCAGUGGGUCUGCACCGCCUGCCGCUCCAGUGUCCUGUCCACUCCACAGCAACCCCAAGCUCUACCUCCUGUCCACGCGUGUGUCUGUGCACACAGCGUGUUGCGGUCAGUGAAUGGCCUCCUGCUUCUCGAGCGCCAUGAGGCUGGCUUUUGUUUGUGUUUUUCUUACCUAGGACUGGGACAAAAGAUGGCCUGAUGCCAGGAGGUGCCGCCCACCAGUGGGGCUAGGCUGGGAGAGCUACUUUCUCCCCACCAGAGCCACCUCUGCUGUCAGUCCUAGGCUGCAACCUCCUGGCCUUUCUGGGCCACACUGGGACCAUUCUCUUGGCAAAAUCUGAGUGAAGUGAGGAAACCGGGGGCUCUUAUGAAAUGGACAGAGCACAGGGUGGGCAUCGGCUGGGCUACGUCCCUGGCCGGAGCUGUCCGCCAAGUUGGAGGACAGAAGAGCGUGCUGGGAGGGAAACAUGGAUUCACCGCAGUGCUCAGGCCACCAAGCACACCACCCCCCAGACACCAGGGAAACCCAAGCAUCUGCACAGGAGUGAGAUUGUGCUAGAUUUUGCUAGAAUCAGGCCCUGCCAGUUGAGGAGCAGCUGGUGGGAGGUGGGAGAUGUGCAGGCUGAGCACAAGCUCAUGGUGUGUGAUGACUCAGGCCCCUCACUGGAGACACCAGGUGAGAGGAGAGACUGCAGGGCCUGGCACACACAGGCCCACUCUUCCUGCUGCCGGCCAGAAGGAGCUGUGUACACAGCAAGGCGGAGAGAGAAACAUUAACCAAAUUGCAAGUUUCGGAUCAUUUGUCUUAUUGUGGCUUCAGGAAAAGUUUAUCUUUCAAGCAGGCCCACCUGUUCUUGUAAAACCUUAUCUGGGCUAUUAGGGGGCGAGUCAUCAGUGCUUGUUCAAACAUUCCACUGAAGAGGGGAGCGGAAAGGAGAGGAGGUGCGAAGGUCACUUUCAAAUUUGGAAACCUCUCUUCCCUUGCUUGAAGAAAGAGAGAUCUGCACUGAACGCGUUUGCCCCUCACAUUUCCCUCUGAUCUUUCAGGGAGCCCAGGCCGGUUCGGGGUGCAGCUGCACCCAUUUGUGGGCACACGCCAGUCAGAAAAGUUGUGUUAAUUUGCAGUGAAUGUUUUCAAACUCCUUUCUCAAAGAUGAAAGUGUUGCCACCUUGUCUUGGCUCCUGCCAGGUUGUGUGGCAAGCGUGUGUGUGAGUGCAGUGUCCUGAUUCCCGGAGAUGCUGAAUGAAAGCCCAACUCUGCAUGAUUCCCUGGCCCACACCUCCGAGCCUUCCCUGCUGGGAGGAGCACCUGGUGUGCACAGGCCCUUGGAUUAGGGAUGUGUGCGCCUAUCUAAGAUUAUGCUACAGGAAUUCAGGCCAAAGACAAUGACUUAGAUUUUUGGCAGACUUAGAUUUUUGGCUAAAAUUUCACAUCACAGUGCUCUAAUUGUAAUUAAUUAUGGUGCUGCGUUUCUUUACAAGGUUGUAAAACGCAAAAGCUGAAGUUGCAGGAUGGUCUUGAAUGAUUGACUAAAAUUGUCUGCUUCUCUAAUGCUAGGCAGAACAUAUAAAAAGAUAAAUCCUAUUAAAACCCCUCCUUCCAGAGAGCAGAAAAUAAAGGGACUCAAAGUCCAUCACUCUCGUGUGCUGCCCAGGGCAGCACUGGGGCCACAGACACUCUUGCCGAUGGCUAUUUUGUGUUUGCUGCAGGCUUCCUAACAGAAAGGAGGCUUUGUAAGAGCACAGAAACAUGCCCAUGCUUCUUGGAUGUGCCCUGGGACAGAGCUGAGCAAACCACGUGAAAGCAAUAUGUGGUAUUGAUUACUCAGCAAAUAUAAACAAUCCCAUACUCUUCACAGCUAUGCCUUUAUUCUUUAUUCAGCAUAUUUCAACCUUUAAAAGACUUGAAGUCAUUCUACUUUGCUGCCUCUCUCCUUUGCUCAACUACCUUCUGCCUAGAGCAGGCCACAUCCUACUGGGGCAGGGAGCUUUGUACUCAGCUCACUGGCCUCCAAGGCCUCACAUCCUACUGGGGCAGGGAGCUUUGUACUCAGCUCACUGGCCUUUGUACUCACCUCACUGGAAGGAGGUCCACUCUCCUGCUGUUGCCACCUCCUGGUUGAGCAGCACCUUGUCUACGACUGCCUCGUCUUCAUUCUCAUUGUAUUUAUUUCUGGUUUUCUGCUGUGCUGCUUUUAUCUCAUGCAUAUAUGAAAGCCUUUAAGAAACAUCAGAGAGUAAUGGAGACGGAGGUGCCGAGAAUCAGCAACUGCAGAAGCCCUGGGCUCUCUUCCCCAGUGCUGUUGUAUUAAAGGAUUUUGUUAUUGUCCGUGGUGGUUUGCCCUUUUUGAAAAAUGGAAGCAUCAAAGUUUUAAACUCAUGUCAUCAUUAAAAUAACAACAUUCAUUGUUUGAAACAAAAAUUAACUGUUAAGUGAGAGUUUGAGAAGUCUUAGUCAGAACGCAGUGCUGACCUUCAUCUGCAUUUUGGAGCCACCACAUCCAAUCCAUCACCCGCUGGUUGUAGCAGCAGAGAGAAGGACGCAACCCCUGACCUGCUGUUGUUUUAUGGCUGAUGAUUCAGAAAGACAGAAAAAAUGCCCUCAUUUUAGCAGCUUUCAUUUGAUCAUUCUCUUCCACCUUCCCCAGCCUCUAGGAGAUGCGUUUAUUGCCAGCUUCACUGCAGAGGAGACAAAUAAGUAACCCAGAUGUUGGCAUUUGUGGCACCUUUGCAGACGCCUCCAUGACACAUGUCAUAUCAUACACCACGUAUUGGAUGUAAUGUGAGCAAUUUAUGAGUCCAGAUGCAUCAACUGCUCUCCUUGUGCCCCUGCUGACAUUCCCCGGAGAUCAAUAUCCUGUAAAAAGCCUGAAGAUUACUUCCUUUCAAUGCUUACUAAGUACAGAUUCUGCAAAACUUUUUCAUAAGCCAGUUCUGUGGAACCCCUUUCUGGCCAUUUCCUGAAGCAACUUUCUUUCCUAAUCAUCCCCACAACACGAAGGCCAGGUUCUGCAAGUAAAACGGUGGUGAGGCAAUUCUGGACUCAUUUAAGUGGCAAGCCCAGGAGGGUGGGUCUCAGAGAACACGUAGAGGGAAGUGGAGGCUCGCGCAGUGUGGAAAUACUGACCAGAUGGAAUUAACCACCUUCCCGGAAGCAGGACUGGAGAGCGCUGUGGAGCUUGCCACAGGUUCUGCUGGAUAGGAAAGUGUGUCUCCUCCACCUGCUGUCUGCUUCUGUCCUGUCUUAGCCCAGCAGAGCUGUUUUAAUGCAGACAUUUGCAGCCUGCCCAGAACUCUCCUGGAACCAGUAAGUCGCCAGUUAGGAAAAAGAUCAGCACCGACCAAACAGAGAUGUUGGAAACCUGCAUUAAUCCCCAGUGGAGGCAGAGGCUCUGAAUGCUGAAGCCACAGCUGCGACAUGGCCACACUCUGCACAUGGCCCCAGGCACUCAGAUUUCUGCACCCUCAGGGUGACUCACAGGCUCCAGAGCCAGGGUUCAGGCCCUGCUGACCACAGUCAAGUGUCCCCUGCUGCCUCAGACCAGGGCCGAAUUCCUGGUGUGCCUCCCUCCUGCACCCACUCAAUGGCUCUGUGGCCUUUGCAAGCACCUGCCUGGCAGGGCUAUGACAAUGUGUGGAGUCAGACGAUGGUGCCAAGUUCGGAGAGGACUUACAGUGAGACAGUGUAGAUAAAGCCUGGGGCCCAGCUCCCCAGCAGCACCUGCUCCUGCACUGUGGCCACUGUGGCAAUGUGGCUGCUUCUAUUUCCUUGAGCACCAUUGCCAUUUUAUCCCAGGCAGGGCCCCUUCGCCCCCUGCACCUGCCACCAUCUGUCCUCGCCCCUGACUCCCAAGCCUCCUAUCAGUCCUGGUCUUGGGAGGGAAAGAACCCCUGGCUUGGGGAACCUGCCAGUCCUGAGGUGGCCACCUGCCAAGGCCCUGGCAUUCCCCCAUCCUGGGGCUCCUGCCCCACCGCUGAGCUCUCCCUCUCACUCCCAUCCCCUUAGCCUCUCCUGGCUGGGGCCUUGCUGUCUGUCACCUCUGAACAGAGCUGAUGCUGACACCGCGGAACGGCAGGGACCUGGAACUGUUCCACUCACCUGCUUCAGCCAGCACCUUGAGGACAGAUCUUCACCUGCACUUGGAGCGUUUAGUUGAAAUACAGUGUUGAUAAUAAUGUAA
Non-coding RNA from Macaca mulatta (Rhesus monkey), 5284 nucleotides. The record is from RefSeq and is a predicted model, not a curated record. Lineage: Eukaryota; Metazoa; Chordata; Mammalia; Primates; Cercopithecidae.